AGUUUGAACACUUGCCUUGAUCAAACCAUCCAAUAUUCAAGGUAAAAUCAACACUGCUAUAAUGGAUGAUACAAAAUAGAAAACACUACAAAUGACCAAAAGGUAUCAGAUUAAUUAUCAAGACAGUAUAGAUUACCAAAAUAAGGUCAUUUUCAAAAUUCUCAACAGAUACAAAACUGUUGUCAAGUAUAUGACCCUGAUCUAUAGGACUAACUGAGAAAUUAGAGAUCAUUUCUGUCCCGACCUUUGGCACAACCCUUAUCUUAUUAUAUAUUCAUUAAUGAUGUAAGGUUGUUUGCAAUAAUAUAUUUAACAUAAAUAUAACAGUUAGUAAGAAACUUUAAGAACAAAAAGGCGGCAUUACUUACAUCCAUUCAAAACACAUCAAACCAAAAUAACAAAUAUCUCAAUAGCACUUUAUAAUAGAUCGCACCAUAUUGUUGCAAUAAAGAUACCUUUAAAUGCAAAAGAAUUGAUUUUCAAGAUGAAAUGGAAAAUACUACAUUUAACAUUUCUUAGAAGCAUGUAUGUGGUUUGUGUCCCAAUGAAUCUAUAAUUUUGGCAUCCUAGCAGGAAGUGCUUGAUGUUCUCUACUUGUCAAUAACAGACAAGUUAUAAAACAAGAUCAAGGAAGAAAACAUCAAACACUUUGUAAGUUACAUUGUACAACAUAUUGUUUUCUAAAUGUUUACAUGAGGUAAGAUCCAUAAGGGUAUUAGUAAAUGCAUAAUAUUGACAACAACUGCUGCUACCUAAUAAUAGUAUUAGCCUAUAAUUAAAUAUUGCACUUGAUCUUUGGAAAAAUGGAAGAUGAUCAACUUUAAUUUACAGCAGCAUCUUUCAUGAAUUGAAACGAAAUUUAAAAUUGUAUACUAAAAAAUAGAAUUAUGGUAAAUCUUUGUUCCAAACUGUUCAAGACUAAAAUGCAUUUUAUGAAUAAGUCAAUUUAUUUUUUCAGUCACUGAAACCACUAUCAAAUUAUCAAUAUCUACUUAUAAGAUUCACAAAUUAUCAUACUAAAUGUGUUUCUAUAUACGAUAUCACAGAUGAAAAACAUAAUCAUUUUUGUUCAGACUGGUUGGUGGGACAAGAAAAUAAUAAAGUAGUGUGUGAGUAUGUUAAAUGAUUAGAAUUGAGCAUAUUUUGGAAAAACUGAUCACUCAAAAAAAAAAUCUUUUCACAGAUGAUUACAUAAGCAAACAUAAUUCAUAUAUCUUCUCACAGAUUAUUUACAUUGAAUAAAUAAAUUCAACAUUACUUUUUUAAUUAAAUAUUCAAUUAACAUGAUUAUAAAGUUUAACCAGUUUUAGAUGAGAAAAAAAGAAACAUAAGAGAUUGACAGGAAUAAAAAAAACUGAUCAUAUUAUUUUUGAGAACAAGAGAGUAAACAAACAACUCUAACGUUUCUGAAUCUUCUCAUAGAUCCCCAAGAGAUAAGAAGUUGACUAAAUCAAAGUAGUUCAAUCUUAUGCUUAAAAAACAACGACUUAUACUUUUGUAUGCCAGAAAAUUUGUCGACAAAAGAUUCAUCAGAGAAGCCAAGAUACCAUAAGUACAAAGCUGAAGAGCAUUGAGAACUACAAUUUGUGAAAGUUUUUGAGGAAUUCAGCUAAUAUACCUACAUUUGAAUAAGGUGUUAAAAAUUCAUUGUCUGGGUUUGGCUUUAUUUUUUGUCCUUUUUUGGUAUUAUCAGAUAAUCAACAUUUGUAUAAGGUUUUGGAUUUUCAAUAUUUAUAGUCUUGAGCAUCACUGGAGAGACAUUUCUCUAAAUGUGUGUAUAGUACAAUUAGGUCAAUAUUGUUAGUAUUAUCAUAAUUAUUGCGAACCCAAUGAAAGUUUACCAUAGAUUCACCUGAUAGUUACCUGUCCAUUUAACUUUUGGCAGUUCUAUUGUCCCAUCUAACAAGUACACAGGUAUUGUUCUCUGUGUAGUUUAUUCACUGGGACUUUUAGAUUUCUUCUAAGAGAAAUAUAUCACUCAUUGAUUAAUUCUACCUUAGUAAAAAAAUAUCUGCUAAAUUGAUAGAAAUAACAUGUUUACCAUUAAAAAUGCAUGUGAUUUCGUGUUUAUUCAAUAUUAAUAAAAAAAAAUUCAAUCUGUUCAAAAUAAACACUAAUUUAAUCAUAAAAAGUUGAUUUUUUAAAAACUUGAGCAUUGUUUCUAUUGAAAUUUUCAGUUUUUCAGUUUUUGUUAAGUUAUAGAAUACUUUUUUAAAAGAAGGCCUUAAUAUGAAUAUCAUCAUUUUUAGGGUUUUUAUGUCAAACGUUUGUUUGAAAUCUAGGAAUAAUGUUGACUUCCCUCAGUCCUCCUUUAUUCGGACCCAGAACUGACAGUUUACACAGCAAAUGUUUCCUUUUCUGAAACAUAUCUUGUUCUUACUGCUGCUGCAUGGGUACUUCCCAAUUCAAUGUAUGUAGUAGCUUGUAACUUCACUUUAUUGUCCAAAAACACAAACAUUGAAGGAUGAAAUGUAUAAAACAGUUAAUCAUAAUUCCUGUGGAAUGAUUCUGGUCCAUUACUGGUACGUUUUGUGGUAGAUAGUUUCAGCCCAUAUGCAUGGUUUGAACAAAGCACUGUGUCAUCAACAUAUGUGGAUAAAACAUAAUCAGCAAAAGUUCUAUUUUCCUCUCUUUUGGCAUAUCUUGUAUUAAAUAUUCAGCAAAGCAAUAAGUUUUAUUCUCUCUCUAUACAUUGACUGUCUUAUGCAUUUUAAGUCAUUUUUCUGCAGAUGCUCAUCUUCUUGGUGAAAUAUAUCCAAACAUAUGAUACUUUUUAAGCCAAAAAUAAGAAUAAAUAUAUAUUAAUCAUGAAUAUUUAUGAUAGAUAUGUGUACUGGUAAAUUGGCACAAGUGAGUUCUGAAAAUAUUGGCGCAAUUGAUACAUUUGGAAAACAAAAUUUGGCACAAUGAUACCCCUGAAAAACAGUAAUUGGGCAAAAGGACUGCUGCCAAACUUUCAUAGGGUUCGCAAUAACAGUACCCAUGCAAUGUCUUUUGCAUAUAAAUAUUUGCUGACUUCCAAGACAAUAAGAUUGGCAAAUUAUAAAAUUAAAUAUGAAGGUAACUUUAAAAAUAGUCAAAGUGUAGAAUGCUUUACAAAAGUUGAUCAAAAUACAAAGAAUAUAAAAAAAUGUUUUCCCAUUGACUUACUAAAGAAUGUUUAGUACUUGUUUUGUACAGCUGUGUAACGUUACAAUAAAAAUAGUACUAAAUGCCAAAGAUAGUUACUGUAAUCUCACUUCAUUCUGAAUUUCUUUUAUCACAGUUCGUUAUAUAUAAAGUUACAACAUAAUUAUUUAUUAAACAAAACAGACUAGACACAAAAAUCAAUUACAAGGAGGUAUGUAGUUUGCUGAAUAGAUAAAAUAUUGAUAUUUGAAAAAAAAAUACACCAUUACAUAAUAGCACACUCUUUUCAUCCUUCUAGAUUGCGGUUAGUCUAUACUAGUAAAGCUUUAAAGUUACAUGUGAUGUUAAUCUUAAUUCAUAAGUCAAAAGCUAUGAACAGAUUUGUUACCAACUUGAUGAAAUUCUUUUUCUGAAUCCACCUGCCAAUAUUAAUCCUAAAGACACACUGACUGUAGCAGUGAUUUUCUAAUAGGAUACUUAUAUACUUAAUCAACUAGUCUGAAAGUAGGUAGGUCUAAUUCUAAAAACAAGACUAGAACAACCAUAAACUUUCAAUUGAAAGCCCAUCUGAAAAGCAAGUUAAUUUCAAAACAAUCAGUUAUAAAAGUUAUUGACAGCGGUGUCACAAGUGUCUGACAAUAUUUCAAUACUACUGUCAUUGUUUGGUGUACUGACAGCUGUCCCACUCCCUGAACUUGGAUUACUGUGGCCAUUUGUCUGAAUACUUGAAAGACGUGCAGAUAGUUCUAGUUUUGGCACUAUUGGGGGGAACACUGGGGUACUUGCUGGAGUUGUUUUGACUGGACUUGCACUCUGAACUACUUCAGGGAACACGCGUGAGCACUUGUGCACUCAUCAUUGUACAUAUUAGAUAUACUUUUGUUUUCUUAAAUCAAAGUUGAAUUUGAACUCUUAUAAUCAGAAUUUAUUGAUUUUAAUUUUUUAAUCAGCAUUAAUUUAUUUGAAAUAAGUCUUCAUUAAUAUUCAUGACUUAUCACAUAUAUAUAACAUUCCUAAAUAUAGUAUAUCACAUACACACGUGUUGUGAAGUUUAUCUAUCAUUGUUGUUGUUGCUUUUAUUUACAGUUUUGAAUUUGUUUUAGUAUUUAUUAUGUGUACAUACAUGUAAAUAUGACUUAAAUAUUAAUGGUGAGUUUCUGAUGGAAAAGUAAAUGUGCUUUAUGAUAGUGAACAACAUUCAGGUUUAAGAGAUUGCUUGGAUUUCUGAUAAGGAAAUGUGACCAACCCAUAGAUAGAAGAAAGUAGAUAGUUUUAAAGUAGAAUUGAUUGGAAUUUAGUUACAGCUUUGUAUGGGUAUAAUUUUUGUUUGAUUUCUUUCAGGGGAGGGGGAUUUAAAAGGAAGAUUUUUUCUUUCUCCUAAUACCCUUCAGUCUGUACAUAAUAUAAUAUUAAGAAUUAAAAGAAAAAUCCUGUGACAGUCAUUAGAGUAAUUAAAGGGUAGAAUAAAAAUAUCUUUUCAUAAAAUCUUGUCAUCUUGUUAAGAUGGUACACUGAAUAGCAGUGCAAUAUUUUGACAGAGUGAAUUCUUUAAGUCUAUGAAGUUGUUGGAAAAAAAAUUAUUUGCACUGGUAAUUUCUGAUAACAUUCCAUAAUUUAUAAAAGUAAUUUAAAAAAAAAAUCAAAUACCGGUAUGUUUUUUGAUUCUAUCAAAAGUAUUGAUUUAAAACAGAGUUUAAAGGGAAAAAAAUGUUUUUAAUAUUUUUUUUAAAUGUCCCUUUAUAUUUUUGGGGACAUUUCUUUCAGAAUUCAGUAACUUAUUCAUUGUUAUAUUUUUAACCGUGUCGAUAUAGAAGCUGUGAUUAUAUAUUUAUGUAGACCAACCAUGUUAAAGAUUGCUUAUUUGUGAGUAUGAGAGUUUUAUGGCUGAUAUAUAUGGUUGUUUUGUAUUGAACUUGCAUUUUUAUGAAACUGAAACAAAUAAAAAUC
This 5076-nucleotide long non-coding RNA is filed under the name Mytilus galloprovincialis (Mediterranean mussel). Lineage: Eukaryota; Metazoa; Mollusca; Bivalvia; Mytilida; Mytilidae. The record is from RNAcentral.